This 330-nucleotide ribosomal RNA is filed under the name uncultured eukaryote. RNAcentral describes it as "partial 18S ribosomal RNA". It matches the Rfam family "Eukaryotic small subunit ribosomal RNA", at positions 1470 to 1796 of the family's 1831-position model. The record is from RNAcentral.
CCCUUAGAUGUUCUGGGCCGCACGCGCGCUACACUGAUGCAUUCAACGAGUCUAAAACCUGGUCUGAUAGGGCUGGGUAAUCUUUUGAAUGUGCAUCGUGAUUGGGAUAGAUGAUUGCAAUUCUUCAUCUUCAACGAGGAAUGCCUAGUAAACGCAAGUCAUCAGCUUGCAUUGAUUACGUCCCUGCCCUUUGUAUACACCGCCCGUCGCCCCUACCGAUUGAAUGUUCCGAUGAAUACCAUGGACUGAGAGUAUGAAUGGGUUCGCCUAUUUCUGCUUCUCGGGAAGUGGAGUAAAUCUUAACAUUUAGAGGAAGGAGAAGUCGUAACA